UUUUUUUUUUUUUUUUUUUUUUUUUUUUUGUCUUUUUGCCUUUUCUAGGGCCGCACCCUCGGCAUAUCAAGGUUCGCAGACUAGGGCUCGAAUCGGAGCUGUAGCUGCCAGCCUACACCACAGCCACAGCAAUGCAGGAUCCAAGCCAGGUCUGCAACCUACACCACAGCUCAUGGAAAUGCCAGAUCGCCAACCCACUGAGCGAGGCCAGGGAUUGAACCCAUAACCUUAUGGUUCCUAGUUGGAUUCGUUAACCAACGAGCCAUGAUGGGAACUCCUGAAUGACUCCUUUUGUAUUUCUGGCAGAGUAAUGCGCUGGCAAUGAGUUUUUUAGAUUUUUGUUUACCUAGAAAUACCUUAAUUCACCUUUAUUUUGAAGGAUAGUUUUUUGAACAUAGAAUUUUUGGUUGGCAGUCUUUCCCUCUCAGCACUUUGAAUAUGUUUUCUUCCGAGAUUUGUAGUAGAAACUAAAUUUGUAAUUUUGCAUGUUUAUGUACACUUGUCCCAACACCAUUUGCUGAAAAAACAAUUCUUUUCCCACUGCUGUGUCUUGUUUGGCUGCUGUUUAAUUUUUAUAAUUUUAUUUAUAUCAAAGUAAUUAAUACAUAUUCAUAGUUUAAAAGUCAAAUACACAUAAUUUAUACAUUUCUUGAUUUACCACUUUUAGAUGUUAUCUAUUGGCAUCCUUUCUAAAUAAAUUCAGCAUUUAAAUUUAUUAGGUGCAUCUAAUCACACACACAAACAUCCUUUUUUUUUCUGUUAUAUAAUAUAUAGAAUGUGUGGGUGUGGUGUGAUGUGGUGUGUGUCUAUGGUGUUAUAUACAUAUCCCAAUUCAUUUUUAGUUAAAUCAGUAUUCACUAUUUAUAUGUUUAUGGCUAUUUAAAAUUUAUUUGCAAUUGAACCAUUUUUGUUACAAUACACAUAAUUUUGUUCUUUUGUAACUUUUUGGACUUGGAGGUAAACAUUGUGUUUCUCUGCUUAUAUUUUCUAUACACAAAACAGGCAUUUACCCUGACUUCUCUGAAAUAUAAGCAACUUUUCUUCAAGAUGGCUAGAACAGAUUAAAUAUGUUUGUUUACUUAUUAUUUAUUCAUUGUUUAGAUAUCAAAAAUUUCCAGAGAAAUUACACUCAUGUCUUAAAAAGUGUCUUAUUAGUCCUGUCCUGUGAGUCUUAUCUUGUAAUUUAUUCCUUUUCUCCUGGGAUGCAUCCCCUCUUUCCUAGACCCCAGAUUAUAUUAUUUCUUCAUUUUAUCACUUAACGUUGGUGAGGUGCAUUCUUUAGUACCUCCUGAAGUCAGAGUACAUGGAAGGCUAAUAUCUAUAGUUCUUGUCUUCUGAAAAAUUCUGAAGUCAGUGCUCACAUUUGACUGAUAAUUGACUAUGUAAAUUGUAAGUUAAAAUUUAUCUUCUAUCAGAAAUGUGAAAUCUUUGCUCUAGAUUCUAUGCAUCAUAUUCCAGGCAUCUAAUGUUAGAUGCCAUUCUGACCUCUGAUUUGCUGGGUGAAACUUGUUUCUCUACAUGAAAAUUUUAAUCUCCAGCUUUAGUGAUUUUAUGAUUUAAUAUUGUCACUUUCCAGUCAUUGCGAUGGACAUUCAUUGCCAUUUUCAUCUGGAAAACCAUGUCUGCAAAUAUCACGAUUUUUGUAAAAUUAUUUUUUGGGUAAUUUCUUCCACUUGCCCCUCUUUUCUUGUGAAAAUUCCUACUUUGGAAUACUGAUGCUUUGGAUGGAUCUUCUAAUUUACUUGUAUCUUUAAUCCAAAUUUUUUCCCCCUUUUAUGGCUAUACCUGUGGCAUAUGUAAGUUCCUGAGCCAGGGGUCAAAUCAGAGCUGCAGCUGGGCUCUAUGCCACAGCCAUGACAACACUGGAUCCAGGUACAUUUGUGCCCUAUGUCUCAGCAGCACCAAAUCCUUAACCCACUAAGCAAGUCCAGGGAUCAAGUCUACAUCCUUUCAGAGACAAUGUCAGGUCUUUAACCCACUGAGCCACAAUGGGAACUCCUUCAAUCCACUUUUAAGUUUCAUUUUCUUUCUGUUCAACUCCAGUUAAGAUUUCCUUAAAUUUACCAUUUAAAUUUUCCAUUGAUUUUUCUUCUAUCAAAUUUUAAUUCAUUAACACACACAACAAAUUAUGAGAGUGCUUGUUUUAUGAAGCAUAAAUCCUAUUUUAAUUUCAUGGCAUCAUAUUUUCCCCCAAUGUCUCUGAAUGUAUUAGUUUUUUUAUUUUUAGGUUACUUCUUGAAUUAUCACAAUUUUCACUGAAUGAUUUGUUUGUUUUGGUUUGGUCUCUGUCUUUCAUGUUUGAAAUUUUCCUCAAGAAUCUGGUAC
RNAcentral lists this long non-coding RNA (2325 nucleotides) under Sus scrofa (pig). RNAcentral's name for it is "lncRNA (ENSSSCG00015026973.1)". Lineage: Eukaryota; Metazoa; Chordata; Mammalia; Artiodactyla; Suidae. The record is from RNAcentral.